Molecule: long non-coding RNA, 762 nt
Filed under: Aotus nancymaae (Ma's night monkey)
Lineage: Eukaryota; Metazoa; Chordata; Mammalia; Primates; Aotidae
Description: lncRNA (ENSANAG00000039207.1)
Source: RNAcentral
GUGGAUCACCUGAGGUCAGGAGUUCGAGACCAGCCUGGCCAACAUGGUGAAAGUCUCUCUCUACUUAAAAAAUACAAAGUUAGCCAGGCUUGGUGGCACAUACCUGUAAUCCCAGCUAGUCGGGAGGCUGAGGCAAGAGAACUGAUUGAACCUGGGAGGCAGAGUUGCAGUGAGCCGAGAUCGGACCAUUGCACUCCAGCUUGGGCAACAAGAGCAAAACUCCAUCUCAAAAACAGAAAACAAAACAAAACAAAAAACCUAUCAAACUCCAGGAGUAUUAGGAAGAGUAAUCUGAGAUUCUGUCCCCGGUCUGAGGACCCAGGGAGCAUCUAGGAAUGGAGAAGCCAUUCUCUUUUCUGCUUCCCAAACAGGACAGGAAGUCAGUAAGUAGGAUGUGAGGACUNNNNNNNNNNNNNNNNNNNNNNNNNGUGAGGACUCCUGCCCACAAUGUUCCCAUAUGAUUAGCCUAAUUCCUUAUCUUCUCUUCUAUUUUCCAGAUAAACACGAUGAACUUGAAGCUCCCUCAAUGAAAACAGACACCAGAGCCAUCUUUGUCAGCAUCUUCAGCUGCAUCUCCAUCCUUCUCCUCUUCCUCGUCGUCAUUGUCAUCUACAGAUGCAGCCAGAACGGUUCAUCACCUGAAGAAUCCACCAACAGAACCAGUCAUUCCAAACUUCCAGAACGAGAGGCUGCUGGUAAGGGAUAGGGGAAGUCAAGGGGAUAACUAGACAGAAAGACUAAGUUCUGGCCGGGCGUGGUGGC